This 1515-nucleotide long non-coding RNA is filed under the name Homo sapiens (human). RNAcentral describes it as "non-protein coding TRG-AS1:20". The record is from RNAcentral. Lineage: Eukaryota; Metazoa; Chordata; Mammalia; Primates; Hominidae.
CUUUUCACAUCUGCAAGGACACUUGGAGGCAACUGCCCAAGGCCACUCUGAGGAGGGUUGAAUGUUCUUUAUUAAAAGGACUGAGGAUCAUGUGUGUUGGUGGGCCUUGGACUCUGCUCUAAGAACAAUGUCUCUCUUGGUUGUUGUGUUGUCCUAGCUCAAAUUUUGCAGUUUCUGCUGUCAUCACAGCUGGGAAUGAGAAAGGGAAGGGGCUCCAGUUGGUCUCCCUCUGCCUCUGGAGCACACGUGGAGGACAUGAGGCUUCCGCAGGAACAGCUCUGAAAGCUGAGUUCUCGGGUCCCUGUGAAGGAGGGAAGCUUGCCUGCCUUGGAGCGUGAAAAAGUCUUGCUGGACAGAAGUCUCACGGUUUAAAACUGGGAAGGGAGAGGAUUGAGAUCACACUAGAAUGCACAGAAAAUUCUUAAAACAAAAAAAUGAGAGAAACUUCAUCAGAAUGUGAAAAGAACUAUAAAGCUACAGUGCUGAAGAGAGGGCAAUACUGGCACUAGAAUGAGAAGAUUCAUGGAACACAGUGGAAAAUGCAGUAAGAGAGCUGCAUACACAUGGAGGCAACCACUCAAGGCCACUCUGAGAAGGGUUGAACGUGCUUUAAAUUAAAAGGACUGAGGAUCAUGUGUGUUGGUGUGUCUUGGACUCUGCUCUAAGGAAGCCUCUGAUUAGGGCCCGGAACCAACUUCCUUUUCGCAUCUGCAGACUCAUGGAGGCAACCACUCAAGGCCACUCUGAGAAGGGUUGAACGUGCUUUAAAUUAAAAGGACUGAGGAUCAUGUGUGUUGGUGUGUCCUGGACUCUGCUCUAAGGCCCUGUGGCUGCCUGGUGCCCUGGGAAUGGUCCGGUCAUGGGCCUCAGCCCAGGAUGAGCAGCCAACAAUGCAAUCCCACGAAGAGUGUGCGGAAGGGAGAGGUUACUUCUCAAGAUGGAGCUGCCAAAUAGGGACACUUUGGAGAGUCUGGCCUGAGAACUUUUAGUUUCAAGAAUGUAUUGCUUUGGAAAAGACAGAAUAAAAGUCCAAGCACUGCCACUUAGAGGUUGUAUGUCCUUGGGAAAGUCACUGUACUUGGCAAUUAUAACCUUUACCCUGGAUACACCAUUCAUCUCCUGGGGCCAGGGGUUGUGCCACCUUGUUCAUUUCUAAACUAAAUGAUAUCUAAGCUAGUCUUUACCACAGUUUAAUUCUUACAAUAAUACUCCAAAGGAGAUAUAAUCAACCACAUUUCACAGAUGAGAGAGUUGGAAUCUUAAAAAGGUUAAACUCUUCGAGGUCAUUUGACGAAUAAAUAAUGGAGCCUGGAUUUCAACUGAAGUCUAACAAAUUCCAAAAUCCUGGCUACCGGCCAUUUAUAUUCGUGUGUGUGUGUAUAUAUAUAUAUAUAAAUUAUAUAACAUAUAUACAUAUAUCAUAUGUAUAUAUAUUAUAUAUAUUUCUUUUUAAGUUAUAAAGUAUAAGAGACCAUGAAGAAAAUUUCAGAAAGAUUUUAGAAACUCAAGGGUCAC